RNAcentral lists this ribosomal RNA (425 nucleotides) under uncultured bacterium. RNAcentral's name for it is "partial 16S ribosomal RNA". It matches the Rfam family "Bacterial small subunit ribosomal RNA", at positions 354 to 796 of the family's 1533-position model. The record is from RNAcentral.
GUGGGGAAUAUUGGACAAUGGGCGAAAGCCUGAUCCAGCAAUGCCGCGUGAGUGAAGAAGGCCUUCGGGUUGUAAAGCUCUUUUACCCGGGAAGAUAAUGACUGUACCGGGAGAAUAAGCCCCGGCUAACUCCGUGCCAGCAGCCGCGGUAAUACGGAGGGGGCUAGCGUUGUUCGGAAUUACUGGGCGUAAAGCGCACGUAGGCGGUCUUUUAAGUCAGAGGUGAAAGCCCGGGGCUCAACUCCGGAAUUGCCUUUGAAACUGGAAGACUUGAACACGGGAGAGGUGAGUGGAAUUCCGAGUGUAGAGGUGAAAUUCGUAGAUAUUCGGAGGAACACCAGUGGCGAAGGCGGCUCACUGGACCGUUGUUGACGCUGAGGUGCGAAAGCGUGGGGAGCAAACAGGAUUAGAAACCCCUGUAGUCC